AGACACCUACAAUGCACGUCAGACCCUUCAUGUUUCUAACCUACGUAACAUGAACGGGAGUCAAGAUUCAUACGGUGGCUGUCAUGCCCACUACGGGUGGGAAGACAAAAACUUUAUGUAAGACACCCACCUGCGAGAUGCAGGUUUUGAAACCUUGGGUGCAACGGCAUUGUGGGUGUCUU
Molecule: non-coding RNA, 182 nt
Filed under: Heliophilum fasciatum
Lineage: Bacteria; Bacillati; Bacillota; Clostridia; Eubacteriales; Heliobacteriaceae
Description: 6S / SsrS RNA
Rfam family: 6S / SsrS RNA
About the family: E. coli 6S RNA was the first non coding RNA to be sequenced, but its function was unknown until recently. It consists of 184 nucleotides that fold into an extended hairpin structure with a large single-stranded internal bulge. The 6S RNA specifically associates with RNA polymerase holoenzyme containing the sigma70 specificity factor.
Source: Rfam by way of RNAcentral